GACGAACAGAGCGAACGUUGUUCGGAAUCACUGGGCUUAAAGGGCGCGUAGGCGGGCUGUCGCGUCCGGGGUGAAAUCCCGCGGCUCAACCGCGGAACGGCCUCGGAUACGGGCGGCCUCGAGGGGGGUAGGGGCAUCUGGAACUGUGAGUGGAGCGGUGAAAUGCGUUGAUAUUCACAGGAACUCCGGUGGCGAAGGCGAGGUGCUGGACCCCAUCUGACGCUGAGGCGCGAAAGCCAGGGGAGCGAACGGG
This 253-nucleotide ribosomal RNA is filed under the name uncultured bacterium. Its description in RNAcentral is "partial 16S ribosomal RNA". It matches the Rfam family "Bacterial small subunit ribosomal RNA", at positions 524 to 776 of the family's 1533-position model. The record is from RNAcentral.